AACGAACGCUGGCGGCAUGCCUAACACAUGCAAGUCGAACGAGACCUUCGGGUUUAGUGGCGCAUGGGUGCGUAACGCGUGGGAACCUGCCCUUAGGUUCGGCAUAACUCCCCGAAUGGGGUCCUAAUACCGGAUCAUGUCCUCGGACCAAAGAUUUAUCGCGCUUGGAUGGUCCUGCGUUGUAUUAGCUAGUUGGUAGGGUAAAAGCCUACCACGGCUUCGAUCGAUAGCUGGUCAGUGAGGCUGGGCAGCCACACUGGCGCUGGGACACGGUCCAGACUACUGGGGGAGGGAGGAAUGGGGGAUAUAGGAAAACGGGGGGAAGGCAGAACCUGCUAUGCCGGGAGAGUGAUUAAGGCCUUGGGGAAGGAAAGCACUUUUACCCCGGACGAUAAUGACAGUACCGGGAGAAUAAGCACCGGCUAACUCCGUG
This 433-nucleotide ribosomal RNA is filed under the name uncultured bacterium. RNAcentral describes it as "partial 16S ribosomal RNA". It matches the Rfam family "Bacterial small subunit ribosomal RNA", at positions 29 to 507 of the family's 1533-position model. The record is from RNAcentral.